Molecule: RNase P RNA, 352 nt
Filed under: Anaerolineae bacterium
Lineage: Bacteria; Bacillati; Chloroflexota; Anaerolineae
Description: RNase P RNA component class A
Rfam family: Bacterial RNase P class A
About the family: Ribonuclease P (RNase P) is a ubiquitous endoribonuclease, found in archaea, bacteria and eukarya as well as chloroplasts and mitochondria. Its best characterised activity is the generation of mature 5'-ends of tRNAs by cleaving the 5'-leader elements of precursor-tRNAs.
Source: RNAcentral
GAGGCUGGCCGGGUGAUCGCGUGGCGAAAAUCACGAGGAAAGUCCGCGCUCCGUAGGGUACGGUGCCGGUUAACCGCCGGACGAGGUAACUCGCUGGAAAAGUGCAACAGAGAACGGAUUGCCCAUGUGAAUGGGUGAGGGUGAAAAGGUGCGGUAAGAGCGCACCAGCAUCUCUGGUAACAGGGGUGGCUGGGUAAACCCCGCCGGGAGCAAGGUCAAGCAGGCGCAAGGGGCGACCCGUCCCAUUUGAGCGCCGGGUAGACUGCUUGAGGCAGUCCGCAAGGGCUGCCCUAGAUAGAUGAUCACCGCCCAGUAAUGGGAACAGAACGCGGCUUACAGGACGGCCUUGCUG